RNAcentral lists this ribosomal RNA (440 nucleotides) under uncultured bacterium. Its description in RNAcentral is "bacterial SSU rRNA". It matches the Rfam family "Bacterial small subunit ribosomal RNA", at positions 338 to 795 of the family's 1533-position model. The record is from RNAcentral.
CCUACGGGGGGCUGCAGUGGGGAAUAUUGCACAAUGGGGGAAACCCAGAUGCAGCAACGCCGCGUGAGCGAUGAAGGCCUUCGGGUCGUAAAGCUCUGUCCCAAGGGAAGAAUACUGACGGUACCUUAGGAGGAAGCCCCGGCUAACUACGUGCCAGCAGCCGCGGUAAUACGUAGGGGGCUAGCGAGAUACGGAAUUACUGGGCGUAAAGGGUGCGUAGUGGAGAUUACAAGUCAGAGGUGAAAGGCUACGGCUCAAACGUCGUAAGCCGUUGAAACGGUGGGGCGUGGGUGCAGGAGAGUGGUAUGGAAUUCACGGUGUAGGGGUGAAAUGCGUAGGUAUUGGGAGGAACACCAGUUGCGAAUGCGGGUCUCUGGACUGUAGAUGACGCUGAGGCACGAAAGGGUGGGAAGUGAACAGGAGGAGAUACCAUAGUGGUC